RNAcentral lists this ribosomal RNA (426 nucleotides) under Triticum aestivum (bread wheat). RNAcentral describes it as "partial small subunit ribosomal RNA". The record is from RNAcentral. Lineage: Eukaryota; Viridiplantae; Streptophyta; Magnoliopsida; Poales; Poaceae.
AUGGAGGAGGAAGCGGGUCUGAUGGAGAGGAUGAAGCUCUCGGAGGAGGAAAGAAAGGGAGUGAAGAUUAGGUGGCCGGCGAGGGCGAGGACGGACAAGGGAGAAAUCCAGGCGAUUGGGAAGGUGUUGUCGGAGAGACCAGCGUACCCGGAUGCGAUCUGCUUGUCGUUAGGGAAGUGUUGGUGUCCUUUGAAGGGAGUUGACUGCAAAGAGCUGGGCAAGAACAUCUUCCUCUUCACUUUCAAACAAGAAUCAGGGAAGUGCAAAGCGCUGGAGGAUGGUCCGUGGAUGUUUGAUAAUGAUUUGGUGGUGAUGGUGGAUUUUGUGCCGAGUAAGCUGAUCGGGCAGUAUGUGUUCGAAGAGAUCCCGGUUUGGUUCAGAGUAUUUGGCUUGCCGUUGGGAGAGAUGGAGGAGGAGAUGGCAGAG